AAUCAACGCUGGCGGCGUGCCUAACACAUGCAAGUCGAACGCGAAAGGGGGCUUCGGCUCCUGAGUAGAGUGGCGUCCGGGUGAGUAACACGUAGGUAAUCUACCUUCGGGUGGGGAAUAACCAGUCGAAAGGUUGGCUAAUACCGCAUAAUGCAGCGGCACCUAAUGGUGAUUAGUUGUUAAAGCGGGGGAUCGUAAGACCUCGCGCCUGAAGAGGAGCCUGCGGCAGAUUAGCAGUUGGUGAGGUAAUGGCUCACCAAGGCAUCGAUCUGUAGCUGGUCUGAGAGGACGGCCAGCCACACUGGCACUGACACACGGGCCAGACUCCUACGGGAGGCAGCAGUGGGGAAUUUUGGGCAAUGGGCGAAAGCCUGACCCAGCAACGCCGCGCGAGGGAGGAAAUCCUUCGGGAUGUAAACCUCUUUCAGCUCCGACGAAGCGAGAGUGACGGUAGGAGCAGAAGAAGCACCGGCCAACUACGUGCCAGCCGCCGCCGUAA
RNAcentral lists this ribosomal RNA (499 nucleotides) under uncultured bacterium. Its description in RNAcentral is "bacterial SSU rRNA". It matches the Rfam family "Bacterial small subunit ribosomal RNA", at positions 32 to 523 of the family's 1533-position model. The record is from RNAcentral.